Molecule: non-coding RNA, 800 nt
Filed under: Edalorhina perezi (Perez's snouted frog)
Lineage: Eukaryota; Metazoa; Chordata; Amphibia; Anura; Leptodactylidae
Description: partial 12S ribosomal RNA
Rfam family: Bacterial small subunit ribosomal RNA
Source: RNAcentral
AUUUGGUCCUAAUUUUGAAAUCAGUUGUUAUUUAAUUUACACAUGCAAGUAUCCGCACCCCUGUGAAAACGCCCUUAAAACCUUAUUUAGGAAAAGGAGCUGAUAUCAGGCACGAAAUUCUGCCCAAAACAUCUAGCUACGCCACACCCAUAAGGGAACUCAGCAGUGAUAAACAUUGAGUAUAAACGACAGCUUGACUCAGUUAAAAUAAAAAGAGCCGGCAAAUCUGGUGCCAGCCGCCGCGGUUACACCAUGUGGCUCAAAUUGAUUUUAUCGGCGUAAAGCGUGAUUUAAGAUUCUAACGCACUAAAGUUAAACUUGAAUUAAGCUGUGACACGCUUUUUACUUGGAAAUUCAAAAACGAAAGUUACUUUAUUUAAUUCAACUUGAAUUCACGACAGUUAAGACACAAACUGGGAUUAGAUACCCCACUAUGCUUAACCGUAAACUUUAAUUUACACCUUCAUCGCCAGGGAACUACGAGCAAAGCUUAAAACCCAAAGGACUUGACGGUACCCCAAAUCCACCUAGAGGAGCCUGUCCUUUAACCGAUAAUCCCCGUUUAACCUCACCACCUCUAGCAUAUCAGCUUGUAUACCUCCGUCGUCAGCUUACCGCAUGAGCGAACAUUAGCGAGCCUAAUGCCCCUACAUCAGUACGUCAGGUCAAGGUGCAGCACAUGAGAUGGGAAGAGAUGGGCUACACUUUCUAAUAUAGAACACACGGAAGACUACUUGAAAAAUAGUCAUAAGGCGGAUUUAGAAGUAAAAAGAAACAAUUGAGUUCUUUUUAACUCGGCA